UAUAUAAUUAUGGAUAACGCCCCAUAUCACUCGGUCCAAAAGCACAAACCACCAACUUCGGCAAACAGGAAGUUAGAAAUAAUUGCAUGGCUUCAAGAAAAAGGAAUAGAGGCCAAUGAAACAAUGCUUAAAAACGAAUUAUUGAGACUCGUUGGUCUGCACAAACCCAGCACACCAACGUAUGUCUUAGAUGACAUAGCCCAAGAAAAGGGUCAUAACGUCAUAAGACUGCCUCCAUAUCACUGCCAGUAUAAUCCGAUCGAGCUUAUCUGGGCCCAAGUAAAAGGUUACGCUGCUAGAUCUAACACAACACCACCUUUUACGGCAAAUAAAAU
Molecule: unclassified non-coding RNA, 335 nt
Filed under: Melitaea cinxia (Glanville fritillary)
Lineage: Eukaryota; Metazoa; Arthropoda; Insecta; Lepidoptera; Nymphalidae
Description: misc RNA ENSMCXG00005010249.1
Source: RNAcentral